UACAGAGGGUGCAAGCGUUGCUCGGAUUUACUGGGCGUAAAGCGUACGCAGACGGAUCGUCAAGUCAGGAGUGAAAGCCCUGGGCUCAACCCAGGAACGGUCUUUGAUACUAGCGGUCUUGAGUUUGGGAGAGGGAAGCGGAAUUCCUGGUGUAGAGGUGAAAUUCGUAGAUAUCAGGAGGAACACCGGCGGCGAAGGCGGCUAUCUGGACGGUUUCUGACGCUAAGACGCGAAAGCGUGGGGAGCAAACAGG
Molecule: ribosomal RNA, 253 nt
Filed under: uncultured bacterium
Lineage: Bacteria
Description: partial 16S ribosomal RNA
Rfam family: Bacterial small subunit ribosomal RNA
Source: RNAcentral